AAAUCUCUGCGGUGCGCGUGACCUGCAACUUGGGUUCGCCGCCUUAAUGACAAACAUAUCGGGAGCUUGACCCGCAAAAUACGGCCGCCAUGCCGCCGCGCGCGGAAGGCGAAAGUGUUUCGGUAGCACCCACCUGCUGACAAAAAGGCAGUAGGAACCCCAAUCGCUUGACGGCAUUUGCGGAGAUUUU
This 190-nucleotide non-coding RNA is filed under the name Opitutales bacterium. Its description in RNAcentral is "6S RNA". It matches the Rfam family "6S / SsrS RNA". From Rfam's summary of the family: E. coli 6S RNA was the first non coding RNA to be sequenced, but its function was unknown until recently. It consists of 184 nucleotides that fold into an extended hairpin structure with a large single-stranded internal bulge. The record is from RNAcentral. Lineage: Bacteria; Pseudomonadati; Verrucomicrobiota; Opitutia; Opitutales.